This 223-nucleotide unclassified non-coding RNA is filed under the name uncultured Gammaproteobacteria bacterium. Its description in RNAcentral is "contains 16S-23S intergenic spacer region". Lineage: Bacteria; Pseudomonadati; Pseudomonadota; Gammaproteobacteria. The record is from RNAcentral.
UCCGGUUUGUCACCGGCAGUCUCAUUAGAGUGCUCAACUGAAUGUAGCAACUAAUGACAAGGGUUGCGCUCGUUGCGGGACUUAACCCAACAUCUCACGACACGAGCUGACGACAGCCAUGCAGCACCUGUGUUCAGGUUCCCUUUCGGGCACCUCUGCAUUUCUGCAGAGUUCCUGACAUGUCAAGGGUAGGUAAGGUGGGGAUGACGUUAGCCUAUCGAGA